RNAcentral lists this transfer RNA (84 nucleotides) under Felis catus (domestic cat). It matches the Rfam family "tRNA". Rfam says of the family: Transfer RNA (tRNA) molecules are approximately 80 nucleotides in length. Their secondary structure includes four short double-helical elements and three loops (D, anti-codon, and T loops). RNAcentral also lists the same sequence under 1 other name. The record is from Rfam by way of RNAcentral. Lineage: Eukaryota; Metazoa; Chordata; Mammalia; Carnivora; Felidae.
GCCUGGGUGGCUCAGUUGGUUGAGCGUCUGACUUCAGCUCAGGUCGUAUCUCGUAGUUCUUGAGUUCGAGCCCCGCACUGGGCU